CCUACGGGAGGCAGCAGUGAGGAAUAUUGGUCAAUGGGCGCGAGCCUGAACCAGCCAAGUAGCGUGAAGGAUGACUGCCCUACGGGUUGUAAACUUCUUUUAUAAAGGAAUAAAGUGAGGCACGUGUGCCUUUUUGUAUGUACUUUUUGAAUAAGGAUCGGCUAACUAUGUGCAAGCAGCCGCGGUAAUACGGAGGAUCCGAGCGUUAUCCGGAUUUAGUGGGUGUAAAGGGAGCGUAGAUGGGUUGUUAAGUCAGUUGUGAAAGUUUGCGGUUUAACCGUAAAAUUGCAAUUGAUACUGGCAGUCUUGAGUACAGUUGAGGUAGGCGGAAUUCGUGGUGUAGCGGUGAAAUGCUUAGAUAUCACGAAGAACUCCGAUUGCGAAGGCAGCUUACUAAACUGCCACUGACAUUGAGGCUCGAAAGUGUGGGUAUCAAACAGGAUUAGAUACCCCUGUAGUC
Molecule: ribosomal RNA, 460 nt
Filed under: uncultured bacterium
Lineage: Bacteria
Description: partial 16S ribosomal RNA
Rfam family: Bacterial small subunit ribosomal RNA
Source: RNAcentral